This 1101-nucleotide ribosomal RNA is filed under the name Porphyromonas endodontalis. Its description in RNAcentral is "bacterial SSU rRNA". It matches the Rfam family "Bacterial small subunit ribosomal RNA", at positions 28 to 1114 of the family's 1533-position model. The record is from RNAcentral. Lineage: Bacteria; Pseudomonadati; Bacteroidota; Bacteroidia; Bacteroidales; Porphyromonadaceae.
GAUGAACGCUAGCGAUAGGCUUAACACAUGCAAGUCGAGGGGCAGCAUUAUUUUAGCUUGCUAAGAUAGAUGGCGACCGGCGCACGGGUGCGUAACGCGUAUGCAACCUGCCUGUAAUUAGGGAAUAACCCGGUGAAAGUCGGACUAAUACCCUAUAUUCUUCUUUUUCCGCAUGGAGGAGGACGGAAAGAUUUAUUGAUUACAGAUGGGCAUGCGUCCCAUUAGCUGGUUGGUAAGGUAACGGCUUACCAAGGCAACGAUGGGUAGGGGGACUGAGAGGUUGACCCCCCACACUGGUACUGAGACACGGACCAGACUCCUACGGGAGGCAGCAGUGAGGAAUAUUGGUCAAUGGGCGAGAGCCUGAACCAGCCAAGUCGCGUGAAGGACGACGGUUCUAUGGAUUGUAAACUUCUUUUGUAGAGGACAUAAUGGCAGCUCACGUGUAGCUGACAUGCAUGUACUCCUACGAAUAAGUAUCGGCUAACUCCGUGCCAGCAGCCGCGGUAAUACGGAGGAUACGAGCGUUAUCCGGAAUUAUUGGGUUUAAAGGGUGCGUAGGUGGCGUAUUAAGUCAGUGGUGAAAAGCUGCAGCUCAACUGUAGUCUUGCCGUUGAAACUGAUAUGCUAGAGAGGAGACGAGGUAUGCGGAAUGUGUGGUGUAGCGGUGAAAUGCAUAGAUAUCACACAGAACGCCGAUUGCGAAGGCAGCGUACCAGGCUCCGUCUGACACUGAAGCACGAAAGCGUGGGGAUCAAGCAGGAUUAGAUACCCUGGUAGUCCACGCAGUAAACGAUGAAUACUAGAUUUUUGCGAUAUAGUGUAAGAGUCUAAGCGAAAGCGAUAAGUAUUCCACCUGGGGAGUACGCCGGCAACGGUGAAACUCAAAGGAAUUGACGGGGGCCCGCACAAGCGGACGAGCAUGUGGUCUAACUCGAUGAUACGCGAGGAAACCUUACCCGGGGAUCGAGAUUCUAGAUGGCGGCAGAUGAGAGUUAGCUUUACCUUCGGGACAUCUAAGUACGUGCUGCAUGGUUGUCGUCAGCUCGUGCGUGAGGUGUCGGCAUUAAGUGCCAUAACGAGCGCAUCCUGCGUCGAUAG